This 268-nucleotide unclassified non-coding RNA is filed under the name fungal sp. Its description in RNAcentral is "partial internal transcribed spacer region". The stretch from base 1 to 46 matches the Rfam family "Eukaryotic small subunit ribosomal RNA", at positions 1786 to 1831 of the family's 1831-position model. Lineage: Eukaryota; Fungi. The record is from RNAcentral.
AAGUCGUAACAAGGUUUCCGUAGGUGAACCUGCGGAAGGAUCAUUACAUUUAGUAGCCUAGCUACUAUUCAGCGGGGUUCGUUAGUCUGCAUAGCUUAAUCGCUGAUGAGCAGCAAACCCCCUGUUUGUACCCUUGUCUUUUGCGCACCAAAAGUUUCCUCGGCGGGCUUGCUCGCCGGCUGGACAACACUAUAACCUUUUUAAUAUUCAAUCAGCGUCUGAAAAACUUUAAUAAUUACAACUUUCAACAACGGAUCUCUUGGUUCUG